CCCCUUCCAAAAACAAGUUGCAGCGGUAGUCUAAAAUGGCCACCAUGAAGAUGAAGAGCAGUCCAGGAAACUAAGAUUGUACUGGAGUGGAGAAGCAGCAAGCAGAGUGUGAACCAGACAACAUUCAAGGACUUUAAGGUACCCCGGUAUUAAGAAUAAAAGGACUAUUUGGAGGAAAAUGUGCAGAAGCGGCGACCAGAGAGAGUGAGAAGGAAAUUUGAACUUAUAAAAUUGGCUUGAGCUAUUGGAAUGAAUUAACUUGGAGGAGAAAACUCAGAAGGAAAUAUUUGACCACAAAACGCUUGGAAAUUAAAUUGGAUAAUUAUUGGACUUUUGGCACUAAAUAGGCAUAAAUAAAUGCUGGAAUUGAAUGUGUUGAAAAUAAAUAAUAGCUAAUAAUUGAAAUUAGCAAAUUUAAUAAACGUUUUAUAAUUUAAAAAAAGAAAGUAAAGUAAAAGAAAGAGUGGAUUGUGGAAAAAGACU
Molecule: non-coding RNA, 483 nt
Organism: Pseudonaja textilis
Lineage: Eukaryota; Metazoa; Chordata; Lepidosauria; Squamata; Elapidae
Source: RefSeq, a predicted model, not a curated record